GUCCCAGUAGCUCAGCCGGAAGAGCAACCGCCUUCUAAGCGGUCGGUCGCAGGUUCGAGUCCUGCCUGGGAUGCCA
This 76-nucleotide transfer RNA is filed under the name uncultured archaeon. RNAcentral describes it as "tRNA-Arg(tct)". It matches the Rfam family "tRNA". Rfam says of the family: Transfer RNA (tRNA) molecules are approximately 80 nucleotides in length. Their secondary structure includes four short double-helical elements and three loops (D, anti-codon, and T loops). Further hydrogen bonds mediate the characteristic L-shaped molecular structure. tRNAs have two regions of fundamental functional importance: the anti-codon, which is responsible for specific mRNA codon recognition, and the 3' end, to which the tRNAs corresponding amino acid is attached (by aminoacyl-tRNA synthetases). tRNAs cope with the degeneracy of the genetic code in two manners: having more than one tRNA (with a specific anti-codon) for a particular amino acid; and 'wobble' base-pairing, i.e. permitting non-standard base-pairing at the 3rd anti-codon position. The record is from RNAcentral.